This 465-nucleotide ribosomal RNA is filed under the name Vreelandella stevensii. RNAcentral's name for it is "partial 16S ribosomal RNA". It matches the Rfam family "Bacterial small subunit ribosomal RNA", at positions 338 to 795 of the family's 1533-position model. Lineage: Bacteria; Pseudomonadati; Pseudomonadota; Gammaproteobacteria; Oceanospirillales; Halomonadaceae. The record is from RNAcentral.
CCUACGGGUGGCAGCAGUGGGGAAUAUUGGACAAUGGGCGAAAGCCUGAUCCAGCCAUGCCGCGUGUGUGAAGAAGGCCUUCGGGUUGUAAAGCACUUUCAGUGGGGAAGAAAGCCUUGGGGCUAAUACCCUCGAGGAAGGACAUCACCCACAGAAGAAGCACCGGCUAACUCCGUGCCGGCAGCCGCGGUAAUACGGAGGGUGCGAGCGUUAAUCGGAAUUACUGGGCGUAAAGCGCGCGUAGGCGGUCUGAUAAGCCGGUUGUGAAAGCCCCGGGCUCAACCUGGGAACGGCAUCCGGAACUGUCAGGCUAGAGUGCAGGAGAGGAAGGUAGAAUUCCCGGUGUAGCGGUGAAAUGCGUAGAGAUCGGGAGGAAUACCAGUGGCGAAGGCGGCCUUCUGGACUGACACUGACGCUGAGGUGCGAAAGCGUGGGUAGCAAACAGGAUUAGAUACCCCGGUAGUC